Molecule: non-coding RNA, 197 nt
Organism: Xyrichtys novacula (pearly razorfish)
Lineage: Eukaryota; Metazoa; Chordata; Actinopteri; Labriformes; Labridae
Source: the annotation of a GenBank genome assembly
AGUAGGCUUGUUAUGGAGCUCAUGUUUUUUUUACCCGUCAUUUUGACUCUUUGUCUGGAAUAUUAUAUCGUAUAUUAUCAUUUUCAAUAUUAAAAUCAGGUUUUAAUAUUUAAAAUGUUAAAACAUAAUAUAAUAGUAUUCUAGACAAAGCUUCAAAAAUGAUGGGUAAAAAACAUGAGCUCCAUAACAAGCCUACU